UCAGGCCUAACACAUGCAAGUCGAGCGGAAACGAGUUAUCUGAACCCUCGGGGAACGAUAACGGCGUCGAGCGGCGGACGGGUGAGUAAUGCCUAGGAAAUUGCCCUGAUGUGGGGGAUAACCAUUGGAAACGAUGGCUGAUACCGCAUGAUGCCUACGGGCCAAAGAGGGGGACCUUCGGGCCUCUCGCGUCAGGAUAUGCCUAGGUGGGAUUAGCUAGUUGGUGAGGUAAGGGCUCACCAAGGCGACGAUCCCUAGCUGGUCUGAGAGGAUGAUCAGCCACACUGGAACUGAGACACGGUCCAGACUCCUACGGGAGGCAGCAGUGGGGAAUAUUGCACAAUGGGCGCAAGCCUGAUGCAGCCAUGCCGCGUGUGUGAAGAAGGCCUUCGGGUUGUAAAGCACUUUCAGUCGUGAGGAAGGUAGUGUCGUUAAUAGCGGCAUUACUUGACGUUAGCGACAGAAGAAGCACCGGCUAACUCCGUGCCAGCAGCCGCGGUAAUACGGAGGGUGCGAGCGUUAAUCGGAAUUACUGGGCGUAAAGCGCAUGCAGGUGGUUUGUUAAGUCAGAUGUGAAAGCCCGGGGCUCAACCUCGGAAUAGCAUUUGAAACUGGCAGACUAGAGUAUUGUAGAGGGGGGUAGAAUUUCA
This 650-nucleotide ribosomal RNA is filed under the name uncultured bacterium. Its description in RNAcentral is "bacterial SSU rRNA". It matches the Rfam family "Bacterial small subunit ribosomal RNA", at positions 42 to 671 of the family's 1533-position model. The record is from RNAcentral.